This 406-nucleotide ribosomal RNA is filed under the name uncultured bacterium. Its description in RNAcentral is "partial 16S ribosomal RNA". It matches the Rfam family "Bacterial small subunit ribosomal RNA", at positions 30 to 526 of the family's 1533-position model. The record is from RNAcentral.
AUUGAACGCUGGCGGCAGGCCUAACACAUGCAAGUCGAGCGAGCGGCGGACGGGUGAGUAAUGUAUGGGGAUCUGCCUGAUGGCGGGGGAUAACUUCUGGAAACGGUCGCUAAUCCCGCAUACCAUCAGAUGAACCCAUAUGGGAUUAGCUAGUCGGUGAGGUAACGGCUUACCUAGGCGACGAUCCCUAGCUGGUCUGAGAGGAUGAACAGCCACACUGGGACUGAGACACGGCCCAGACUCCUACGGGAGGCAGCAGUGGGGAAUAUUGCACAAUGGGCGCAAGCCUGAUGCAGCCAUGCCGCGUGUAUGAAGAAGGCCUUCGGGUUGUAAAGUACUUUCAGUCGUGAGGCGUUACCGACAGAAGAAGCACCGGCUAACUCCGUGCCAGCAGCCGCGGUAAUAC